Molecule: ribosomal RNA, 412 nt
Filed under: uncultured Alishewanella sp.
Lineage: Bacteria; Pseudomonadati; Pseudomonadota; Gammaproteobacteria; Alteromonadales; Alteromonadaceae
Description: bacterial SSU rRNA
Rfam family: Bacterial small subunit ribosomal RNA
Source: RNAcentral
UCAGCAGCCCCGCGUAAUACGGAGGGUGCAAGCGUUAAUCGGAAUUACUGGGCGUAAAGCGCACGCAGGCGGCUUUUUAAGUCGGAUGUGAAAGCCCCGGGCUCAACCUGGGAAUUGCAUCUGAUACUGGGAAGCUAGAGUAUGUGAGAGGGGGGUAGAAUUCCAAGUGUAGCGGUGAAAUGCGUAGAGAUUUGGAGGAAUACCAGUGGCGAAGGCGGCCCCCUGGCACAAUACUGACGCUCAGGUGCGAAAGCGUGGGGAGCAAACAGGAUUAGAUACCCUGGUAGUCCACGCCGUAAACGAUGUCUACUAGAUGUUCGUGGUCUUGUACCGUGAGUAUCGCAGCUAACGCAUUAAGUAGACCGCCUGGGGAGUACGGUCGCAAGAUUAAAACUCAAAGGAAAAUUGACGG